UAAGUUGGAUAAACUGCCGCCGCAGCUAUGCUGGGGAGGAAAGUCCGGACUUCAUAGGGCAGGAUACUGGCUAACGGCCAGGCGGGGUGACCCGACGGAAAGUGCAACAGAGAGUAGACAGCCGAUCUUAACUUGUUAAGAGGCAAUGGUGAAACGGUGAGGUAAGAGCUCACCAGCGAUGUGGUGACAUGUCGGCUUGGUAAACCCUAUCCGAAGCAAGGCUAAGCAGGGGUGAGCAGUGUUUUAACAACUGUGACAUCUGCCCGAUGCACCCCGGGUAAGCCGCUUGAAUUGCUUGGUAACAAGCAAUCUAGAUGAAUGGCAGUUUCUUAAGUUUUCUUAUAGACAGAAUCCGGCUUACCGUCCAUCUUAGAGU
This 376-nucleotide RNase P RNA is filed under the name Zetaproteobacteria bacterium. RNAcentral's name for it is "RNase P RNA component class A". It matches the Rfam family "Bacterial RNase P class A". From Rfam's summary of the family: Ribonuclease P (RNase P) is a ubiquitous endoribonuclease, found in archaea, bacteria and eukarya as well as chloroplasts and mitochondria. Its best characterised activity is the generation of mature 5'-ends of tRNAs by cleaving the 5'-leader elements of precursor-tRNAs. Lineage: Bacteria; Pseudomonadati; Pseudomonadota; Candidatius Mariprofundia. The record is from RNAcentral.